This is an RNA transcript of Hipposideros armiger (great roundleaf bat), 2775 nucleotides long. It is a transcript of the gene named solute carrier family 38 member 8, with no coding region annotated. The record is from RefSeq and is a predicted model, not a curated record. Lineage: Eukaryota; Metazoa; Chordata; Mammalia; Chiroptera; Hipposideridae. The transcript is spliced from 14 exons.
UCUUGGGACAGAUGGCCCUGAUCUCCUGAGCCUGUCCCUCCAGGUUUGGGGAUGUGACCCCAACACCUGCUCUCUAGGGCUCCCUUAAUUCAUGACUAUUCAUUACCCACCCCAGCAGAGCUAGUAUCUUCCUUCUUCCACCCCUCCCGGCCCAAGAAAUGCAACUGAACCACCUGGAGCAAGUCUGAGUCCCUGUCUGUGGUGGCCAAGGACUGGCUCCUGCCUUGAAGCUUGCAUUUGGCGUUGCUUCUAACCAUGGAGGGACAGACCCCCGGAAGCAGAGGCCUUUUGGAAAAGCCCGCAGCCGCCAGCCCCAGUCUGUCCUCACUGGGCGCUGUCUUCAUUCUCCUGAAAUCCGCGUUGGGGGCUGGCCUGCUCAACUUCCCCUGGGCUUUCUACCAGGCAGGUGGGGUGGGCCCGGCCUUCCUGGUGGAGCUGGUCUCCUUGGUCUUCCUGAUCAGUGGGCUGGUCAUCCUGGGCUAUGCUGCCUCCGUCAGCGGCCAGGACACCUACCAGGGUGUGGUCGGAGGGCUGUGUGGCCCCGCCAUCGGGAUGCUGUGCGAGGCUUGCUUCAUCGUCAACCUGCUUAUGAUCUCUGUGGCCUUCCUCAGGGUGAUUGGGGACCAGCUGGAGAAAUUGUGUGACUUCCUCCUGCCCAGCGCAGCCCUGCAGCCCUGGUACACCGACCAGCGCUUCACCUUGACCUUGCUUUCCCUGCUGGUCAUCCUGCCCCUGUCCGCCCCAAGGGAGAUCGGGUUCCAGAAAUACACAAGCAUCCUAGGCACCCUGGCCGCCUGCUACCUGGCCCUGGUCAUCAUCGCGCAGUAUUACCUCGGGCCGCAGGGCCUCGUUCGUGAGCCCCGCCCUGCACGGAGCCCUUCCUCCUGGACCUCCGUAUUUAGUGUCUUCCCCACCAUCUGCUUCGGAUUUCAGUGUCACGAAGCUGCUGUCUCUAUCUACUGCAGCAUGCGCAACCAGAGCCUGUCCCACUGGGCCCUGGUCUCCGUGCUCUCCUUGCUGGCCUGCUGCCUCAUCUACUCACUGACAGGUGUGUACGGCUUCCUGACCUUCCAGACGGACGUUUCUGCUGACAUCUUGAUGUCCUACCCGGGCAAUGAUGGGGUCAUCAUCGUCGCCCGAGUCCUCUUUGCCGUCUCUAUCGUGACUGUCUACCCCAUCGUGCUCUUCCUGGGCAGGUCAGUGAUGCAGGGUUUUUGGAGGAGGAGCUGCUGCCAGGUAUGCGGGCCCAGGGCCCUGGCCGACCCGUCCAGGCUGGGGGUCCGGAUGCCCAUGACCAUCCUGUGGGUCACCGUGACACUUGCCAUGGCCCUGUUCCUGCCGGACCUUAGCGAGAUCAUCGGCAUUAUUGGCGGCGUCAGUUCCUUCUUCAUCUUCAUCUUCCCAGGUCUGUGUCUCAUCUGUGCCAUUAGCGCCGAGCCCAUAGGACCACGGGUUAAUUGCUGUGCUUGCCGGCACCAACCGUGCUCAGGCCCAGGGACGUCCUGGACGCUGCUGGAUUCAAGCCACUCUUCCUCUGCCUUGGGACAUCUGCUUGAAGCCAGUGGGGCCAGAGCCAUGGGCUGACAUUCGAGGACACCUCCCUCUGGGUGAGGCAACUGAGGCUUGGAAAAGUCAAGGCUGCCUAUCCUAAGAGGUACACAGUUAAGGAUUGCCUCUGAGUGCCUCCUGAGGAUGAUUUGGGUUUUGACCUGGACUUGGCGAGGAUGCAGACUGGCUCUUGAAUGCAGCUAGUGAACUUCUGCUUUGGCAGCUGGCCCGAUACAAAAGCACCAAAUGAGAAUGAAUAAUCAAAGCACCCCCGGGGCUGCAGCAACCUCUCAGAAACCUCCAUCUGGCUCCAGAUACAAAGCCCUUCACUGGCGUCUGCAGCAGGAAGCUGUUUCUUUCAAGUGGCCUUCCCAGGACAAGGAGACCUGUUCCACCAGCCCCUCCUUGGUCCUCAGCCCCAACCUCUGGUCCAGGCCACCACUGUGCUUGGUCCCUUGCAAAUGGGCCUGGUGGCAGCUCUUUGUCCAGACCCUCUCUAGCCUGUCUCAGGGGACUCCAACUUCUCAAAUCUGCCCCAAGCAGCCCCCCAGGAACUCUGCUCCUCAUCACCAGAGUGGGCCUGAGGAAGGUGAGCAGGUGUCAGGUGGAGAAGGGGGUUCAUCCUACUUGGGGAACUCCAGGGAGAGGGACAGGAUGGCAUUCAGGUUGGGGCAAGUGUGAGUCGAAUUUACACUUGACUUAAGGAUGGGUUGCGGCCUGAGUUUUUGGUUGAUUCUGAGGUGCAGGUUAAGUGAUGGGGUUGGAGAAAAGGUUUAAUCAGGUACAGACUUAGAAGUAGAGUUAAGGUUACGAAGUAGAGUUAGGAUUAAUAUUCGGUUACAGUUUGGUUUCAGAUGUGAUCCAGUGAGGAUCAAGAUGGCAGAGUUACUGUUGGGACCGGGAAUAUGCACAGUGGCCUGGGUCAGGACUGGACUGAAUUAGCUGAAGGGUGAUAUCACCGCCAACUUCCCCUCUCACUAGCCUAUGUAAAUCCUGCAAAACCUAGGGUCUCUUCCUGCUUAGCCACGUGUGCUCAGGAAAGACCAACUUGCCAACGCGGUGUCAAUCUGCCCAUUCCCGAUUCACCCCAGACAGUGGGGCCUCUUACUUUUAGUUUAGCGAGUUGGGGAAUUUCAGGGUCCCUGCCCUCCAGGGGGAUGCACAGCGGAUACUGGCCUGGGGGAGAAGGAACGUGCCUCCUCUCGGACCCUGGGCGUCUUAUGCCAG